RNAcentral lists this non-coding RNA (28 nucleotides) under Homo sapiens (human). Lineage: Eukaryota; Metazoa; Chordata; Mammalia; Primates; Hominidae. The record is from RNAcentral.
UCAGCCAACAGAAUCCUGGAUUUGAGUC